This 401-nucleotide long non-coding RNA is filed under the name Rattus norvegicus (Norway rat). Its description in RNAcentral is "long non-coding RNA NONRATT014808". Lineage: Eukaryota; Metazoa; Chordata; Mammalia; Rodentia; Muridae. The record is from RNAcentral.
GGUCUUAGAACAAGGUCUAGAGGGUGUAAGGAUGGUUGCUUGGACCUCUAGAACAUUCCUAGACUUGACUUCCUGUGCCCGGAAAGCAGCUUGUUGUUAUUUAUAGGGAGCUAACACCACUGGAGAAGGCCUCCCUACAAAACCAGAAGCUGAGGGCCACAUAUGAGGCCCGGAUGGCCCGUCUGGACCCCAGCCAGGCCAUGCAGAAGACAUCACUGACUCUGUCUCUACAGCGGCAGAUGAUGGAGAAUCUGGUGAUCGCCAAAGCAAGAGAAGAGACACUGCAGCGGAAGAUGGAGCAGCGCCGCCUGCGACUUCAGGAGGCUGCCAACAGCUUGCCUUCCUCCUCAGGAGGUUCUGCAGUCAAGUUGCUCUGACCCCAGAGGAGCGGGAGCAGCGAG